GCACUGCUGAGGAGUCCCACAACAGGACGAAACGGGCUGUCUUGUGC
This 47-nucleotide non-coding RNA is filed under the name Schistosoma mansoni. The record is from RNAcentral. Lineage: Eukaryota; Metazoa; Platyhelminthes; Trematoda; Strigeidida; Schistosomatidae.